RNAcentral lists this ribosomal RNA (281 nucleotides) under uncultured bacterium. Its description in RNAcentral is "partial 16S ribosomal RNA". It matches the Rfam family "Bacterial small subunit ribosomal RNA", at positions 524 to 792 of the family's 1533-position model. The record is from RNAcentral.
UACGAAGGGGGGGCUAGCGUUGUUCGGAAUCACUGGGGCGUAAAAGCGCACGUAGGCGGACUUUUUAAGUCAGGGGGUGAAAAUCCCCGGGGGCUCAACCCCCGGAACUGCCUUUGAUACUGGAAGUCUUGAGUCCGAGAGAGGUGAGUGGAACUCCGAGUGUAGAGGUGAAAUUCGUAGAUAUUCGGAAGAACACCAGUGGCGAAGGCGGCUCACUGGCUCGGUACUGACGCUGAGGUGCGAAAGCGUGGGGGAGCAAAACAGGAUUAGAUACCCGCGUA